This 675-nucleotide long non-coding RNA is filed under the name Anas platyrhynchos platyrhynchos (common mallard). RNAcentral's name for it is "lncRNA (ENSAPLG00000019179.1)". The record is from RNAcentral. Lineage: Eukaryota; Metazoa; Chordata; Aves; Anseriformes; Anatidae.
CCCCCCCCCCCCCCCCUUCUGUCAGGGCAGCGGAGCGGCUCCGCCCCGGUGCUGGCAGAAUGAGGUGAAAAUGCCCCCGCACAGCCCCCGAGCCGGCUCCAAGCGCCCUGCUCAAUAAUUCAAGUGAGCUGAGCUGCCUUCGGCUGGGCAGCAGAAGGGAGGGGGCGUGCUGGGGCGGGCAGACGGGGAGCCCUGCGGAGAGUGCCGGGAUGCACCUAUCGGAUGCACAGCCUUCUGAUGGCUGAAAUUAGAUUUUAUAUAGACACACAGCGUGUUUUUGCAUCGCAGCUUGGGCGAUUGCCUCGCACCCCCCUAAGCGGCGGCUCCUUGGCCCCGGAGUCUGCAGCUCGGGCUGCCUCGUGGCGUGCCUCGAGGGAGGGGAAGGCCCGAGGGAAAGGCCGGAGCUCCGCAGGGUGUGAGGCAGCCCCAGUUAAGCUGGGCAGGCUGCUGGGGGGGGUUUAUUUUAGCCUCGCAUGUCUGAAUUUAUUGAGAGACUUCACAGUGGCCGUAAAGUACUUAAGAACCUAUAUAUACAUUUUUGAAAAGAACACCAUUGGUGUCACGGAGCUAGCUCUGGCAUGGGAUAUAGCAGCUGGGUACCACAGAACAGCAGCACGGCCAUAUCAAGGUCAAAGUCCCACUGCCCAGUGUCAUCACAUUCAAAUCCCACAGUAA